AUUGAACGCUGGCGGCAGGCCUAACACAUGCAAGUCGAGCGGAUGAAGGGAGCUUGCUCCUGGAUUCAGCGGCGGACGGGUGAGUAAUGCCUAGGAAUCUGCCUGGUAGUGGGGGAUAACGUCCGGAAACGGGCGCUAAUACCGCAUACGUCCUGAGGGAGAAAGUGGGGGAUCUUCGGAUCUCACGCUAUCAGAUGACCCUAGGUCGGAUUAGCUAGUUUGUGGGGUAAAGGCCUACCAAGGCGACGAUCCGUAACUGGUCUGAGAGGAUGAUCAGGCACACUGGAACUGAGACACGGUCCAGACUCCUACGGGAGGCAGCAGUGGGGAAUAUUGGACAAUAGGCGAAAGCCCGAUCCAGCCAUGCCGCGUGUGUGAAGAAGGUCUUCGGAUUGUAAAACACUUUAAGUUGGGAGGAAGGGCAGUAAGUUAAUACCUUGCUGUUUUGACGUUACCAACAGAAUAAGCACCGGCUAACUUCGUG
Molecule: ribosomal RNA, 484 nt
Filed under: uncultured bacterium
Lineage: Bacteria
Description: partial 16S ribosomal RNA
Rfam family: Bacterial small subunit ribosomal RNA
Source: RNAcentral